UGUCGUCGAGAAUCAAAGAGUCGAUGGUGAUACAAGGAACACGAUUUAGAUAGGUUUGGGCCGCUAGAUCGUGUAAUACCCUAUGUCCUUUGUGUUGAUUGUAUUGAACUUCUUAGCUGUUUUCUUGAGGGGGGGGGGGUAUCCCUGCCCACCCUUAUUUAGUCGGGGGAGCAGGGUUACAGGGUAGAGUCCUAAUCGAACAUGGUUUUAGAGUUCUACUCCAAAUCAGUAGAGUAGUUUCCUUGAGUUAUCCGACUAGUCUUCAAGAGUCCGUGUAGGCUACGCUUGUCGGUGUUUUAUACUGGCAACCUACCAAGGGGGUACUCGAGGUAGUCGAUUAGUCGGUUGGGGGAUCACCAGACCUGGAACCCGAAGGUAAAAGCGAGGGCACAAGACACGGAUUUAUACAGGUUUGGGCCGCCAGAGUAGCGUAAUACCCUACAUCCUAUUUUGGGGUGUUGUAUAUUGCGCCUUGCGCUUCGGUGUUGAGCUUAGGUGAGCUGCUGAUCUAGGUACCCUCGCCCUCCUUUAUAUACUCCAGGGGGCAGGAGUCCUAGUCGGAUUACAAGGAGGAGUCCUAGUAGGAGUACACGGUAUGAGUCCUAGUCGGAUUAUAGGGGAGUCCUAGUUGGAGUCCAACUUCUUGCUUCCUUGCGGGUAUUGGGGAUCUAUCCCCGAUGAGCCCCUGAGCGCUUCAUAGUUGAAUGCAGCAGUCUUCGAGUACUUUUAAGUUAUUCGCCGAGUAGUCUUGGUGUUCCUCGAGUACUUUAUCUGGUGGAAUCUUCAAAGCUUCUCAAAGCUGCUAUGAGGCUAUGG
RNAcentral lists this long non-coding RNA (816 nucleotides) under Setaria viridis. Its description in RNAcentral is "long non-coding RNA (SVIR_LNC010570)". The record is from RNAcentral. Lineage: Eukaryota; Viridiplantae; Streptophyta; Magnoliopsida; Poales; Poaceae.